Molecule: long non-coding RNA, 208 nt
Filed under: Vulpes vulpes (red fox)
Lineage: Eukaryota; Metazoa; Chordata; Mammalia; Carnivora; Canidae
Description: lncRNA (ENSVVUG00000021185.1)
Source: RNAcentral
UUCAUGUUCACCUCUAGUUCUUGGCAUUCUCUAUCAGGAUUCAUUGUGUUAACAAGUGAGUUUGAACAGUAUUUCGGGAAUCUGUUGGAGAUGGUUUCAAGAUGUAGAACUCUUAUAUGUGAAGUAUCCCUAAUGAAGUUGGAACAUCCACGUUGAAAUUGCUUCAUGUUUUGAUAGAAACCCAUUCCUAUUAAGGUCAGAAUCACUG